This 253-nucleotide ribosomal RNA is filed under the name uncultured bacterium. Its description in RNAcentral is "partial 16S ribosomal RNA". It matches the Rfam family "Bacterial small subunit ribosomal RNA", at positions 524 to 776 of the family's 1533-position model. The record is from RNAcentral.
UUCGUAGGUGACAAGCGUUGUCCGGAUUUACUGGGCGUAAAGAGCGCGCAGGCGGUCGAUCAAGUCGAGUGUGAAAGCCCCCGGCUCAACUGGGGAGGGUCAUUCGAUACUGAUCGACUCGAAGGCAGGAGAGGGUAGUGGAAUUCCCGGUGUAGUGGUGAAAUGCGUAGAUAUCGGGAGGAACACCAGUGGCGAAGGCGACUACCUGGCCUGUUCUUGACGCUGAGGCGCGAAAGCUAGGGGAGCAAACGGG